This 132-nucleotide small RNA is filed under the name Escherichia coli. RNAcentral's name for it is "RtT sRNA". It matches the Rfam family "RtT RNA". From Rfam's summary of the family: This family represents a bacterial cis-regulatory element known as RtT RNA. The exact function of RtT is unknown although it is thought that it may be involved in changing the cellular response in relation to amino acid starvation. Lineage: Bacteria; Pseudomonadati; Pseudomonadota; Gammaproteobacteria; Enterobacterales; Enterobacteriaceae. The record is from RNAcentral.
GUUUGCACUCAUCGGGGAAGGGUGAGAACCUUCGACUAAGGUUCGAUUUGAGCGAAAGCGAGAGAACGUUGCCACAGGCAACGGCCCGAAGGGUGAGGAGCGAAGCGACGAAUAAUCCUUCCCCCACCACCA